Molecule: non-coding RNA, 1238 nt
Organism: Camellia sinensis
Lineage: Eukaryota; Viridiplantae; Streptophyta; Magnoliopsida; Ericales; Theaceae
Source: RefSeq, a predicted model, not a curated record
UUGAUAAAUUAUUUGAAAUCCCUAACCUAACUCAUAAAUUAAUUAGAAGAAAGUUACUAAGUUCUGGGAUUCAUUCCUACAACAUCCUCAAAUAUAUGAGUGAAAACAUCAUUAGGCAUACAAUCCAAAAAUAAACAUCAAUAAGCUAUAAAAAGGAGCAUCAUCAGUUAGUGGCACGUUUACGAUGAUAUCUGUAGAUUUGAAAACAAUUGAAAGGGGAUGGCCCACGAGAGAUGGUUAUCGAUUGUUGAAUGUGGUUGUUGGAGGUGAUUGUUAGCCAUCGGAAAUGCUGGUAAAAAAUGAUUGUCACUGAUGGGAGGUGAUUGGUAGUGGACAAAAGUGAUUGUUGAAUGUAGGAGGGUGUUGGCCAAAAGUGAUUGCCUAUUGUUGGAGGUGGUGGCGGGCUAUCUAAAUCUAAGAUGAUGACCAAAGCUUGUAUCCGACAAAAGGUGAUGACGGACCUCGGGAGGUGGUUGUCAGAGGAGGUCAUUAGUGAUAGUGACUGGUGGUGAUAAGCAUUGGUGGUGGUUCUUGGAAAUAGGAGAAAGAGAAAUGAAUUUUUUUUAAAAAACAAAUGAAAUUAACUUUUUUGUUUUUAUUCAAAAUUUUAGUAAAUUACGUUUACAAAAUUUUAAAAGAAAAUGGUACUAAAUGAUUUCUUAUAUAUAAAUUUUAAAAUUUCUAUAAAUAUAAACAGAAAGCACUAGCAUGCUCUAAGCAUGUACGUUUUUUUUUUUGGUUUUGUUUUGUGUCUCUAGUAUACCAUCAAAGUUGAAGAAAGCUGUUCUACUGUCUGUCUUAAUGGGUUCGUUGCUUUGGAUGUGCCUGCUCAAAAAGGCCCCCUAUGGGUUCUUGGAGAUUUAUUCCUUGGAGCAUACCACACUAUAUUCGACUUUGGUAAUCUCCAAGUGGGUUUUGCGAAAAGUGCUUAGUACUCCUAAUUAAGUGGGAUUUGAGAAAACUACAUACCUGCUUCCUACUCCUUCAACUUCCUCCCUUUGAUUGGUCUUGGCUUGUGAAUGCAAGGUGCAAUUAGGUGGACAAUUUGUGAAAGUAAUGUUAAUUGGAUGGAUACACAUAUGUCUUGCAAUAGUGUGAAUUGCAUCUUUUUUAUUUAUUAGCAUUAUAAUUAUUGUUUUUUUGGGUGAGAAUUUUGAUAAAUAGGGCUUUAUGUAAAAAGGUUACCCAUGAAUAAAAACAGAUGUUACUUUGGCAUGGAGAUGCAUCCAUUAAUAAUA